Molecule: ribosomal RNA, 253 nt
Filed under: uncultured bacterium
Lineage: Bacteria
Description: partial 16S ribosomal RNA
Rfam family: Bacterial small subunit ribosomal RNA
Source: RNAcentral
CACGUAGGGGACGAGCGUUGUCCGGAUUCAUUGGGCGUAAAGCGCGCGUAGGCGGCUCGGAAAGUCGGUCGUGAAAUGCCGGGGCUCAACCCCGGGACUGCGUCCGAUACUCCCGAGCUGGAGGUAGGUAGGGGAGAUCGGAAUUCCUGGUGUAGCGGUGAAAUGCGCAGAUAUCAGGAGGAACACCGGUGGCGAAGGCGGAUCUCUGGGCCUUACCUGACGCUGAGGCGCGAAAGCUAGGGGAGCGAACAGG